UCUUCGGAAUUGGAAGCUACCGCGGCGACGAGAUGGAGAAUCGAUGCUUCCCAUCGCUUCUCCUGCUAUUCUACCUCUCCUUCUCCAUCGUCGAUCCAGCCUCCGCCUUCCUUGAUCCUGCUCUCGGAACCACUCGCGUCGUCUUCCAGAUGCAGAUUUUGAUGAAACGAUUUUGAUGUAGAUGCAGAUUUUUAUGAAACGAUUUUGAUGUAGAUGCAGAUUUUGAUGUAGAUGCAGAUUAUGAUGCUAUUCUGGGUGUGAAACGAUUCUGUAAUAAAAAGAAUAUUGUAUCCAAACUAUUGCUGAAAAUAAGCAGAUGCAGAUUCAUGUUUAAA
This is a long non-coding RNA of Zingiber officinale, 335 nucleotides long. RefSeq lists it as uncharacterized. The record is from RefSeq and is a predicted model, not a curated record. Lineage: Eukaryota; Viridiplantae; Streptophyta; Magnoliopsida; Zingiberales; Zingiberaceae. The transcript is spliced from 2 exons.